This 448-nucleotide long non-coding RNA is filed under the name Homo sapiens (human). RNAcentral's name for it is "non-protein coding TTC28-AS1:37". The stretch from base 48 to 228 matches the Rfam family "TTC28 antisense RNA 1 conserved region 3". Lineage: Eukaryota; Metazoa; Chordata; Mammalia; Primates; Hominidae. The record is from RNAcentral.
CUUCAGCUUUGGUCCCUCGGGGCGUCUGGGCAGCCUACGCUUUCCGUAAACACUGGGAUGCCGGAGCUCAGGCAUCCCAGACAGGAGGAAGUGUGUACUCACACCAGCCAGGAGGAAACAAGCCUGCCUGGGAGGACAGACGAUCAGCCCUGGCUGUCCCUCAGGAGCGGGGGGCCUCCAAGGCACACUGCCCACUGGGUCAAGGAGUAUCCAGGAGGAGUUAGAAGCAUGACCCAUCUGCCUGGCACCAGCACCUGGGGCUGCCAGGCAGCCACCCCUGCAGCUGUGUUGACAGGACCUGGCAGAGGGACUGACCCACCUUUGGAAAAUGACACCAGCAAUAUCAGGAUGUGUCAACUGGAUUUAUGCUAAGAAAAUAGGAUUUUUGGUGUUCCUCUGUUUCCCAAAGUUUGAGACACUUUCAGACACUCUGCUUUGCGGUUGUGGC